This is a transfer RNA of Trichosporon asahii var. asahii CBS 8904, 103 nucleotides long. It matches the Rfam family "tRNA". From Rfam's summary of the family: Transfer RNA (tRNA) molecules are approximately 80 nucleotides in length. The record is from Rfam. NCBI's taxonomy places the organism in Eukaryota, Fungi, Basidiomycota, Tremellomycetes, Trichosporonales, Trichosporonaceae.
GGCCACUUAGCUCAGUUGGUUAGAGCGUAUGCUUAACACUCGGAACUCCGACGGAGCGAGAGAUUUACGCAUAAGGUCGGCGGUUCGACCCCCCCAGAGGUCA